Platichthys flesus (European flounder) is the source of this 1004-nucleotide long non-coding RNA. RefSeq lists it as uncharacterized. NCBI's taxonomy places the organism in Eukaryota, Metazoa, Chordata, Actinopteri, Pleuronectiformes, Pleuronectidae. The record is from RefSeq and is a predicted model, not a curated record. The transcript has 3 exons.
GUUCACGAGGGUGAGGAGAACUACCAUGACUGGCAGAAAGAAAAAAUAACUGGCACGAAAUGUACUGCAGCAUAAACGCUCCCAAAUAGCCGCAUCUGACAUUCGUGUAUUACAGACAACGGAAUAUAACCACACAACAAAGACAAGUUUGGAUUAAAAUUACACAAGGGACACAUUAGAUGCAGAGCAGAUUGUGAGGACAAAUUGUGAGGUACAUGCAACAUUUAUAUGAUACACAGUGGAUUUUGUGAACAGUAUAUUUCUUUGAUCUCAUCUGAACAUUUAACUUUCGACUGAGACACACACUGCAGAUCCACCGGUCACAUAAUGCACAGCUUUCUCGUGCUCCUCCCUCCGGGUGCCUCAGGGAAGCAUCAAAUGAAAUCACGUACUUUAAGCAGAACAAUAUACUGAAGAAAGAUAAAAAUAGUGAUGACUCAUAUAGAGGAGAGUCACACAGUCCUCGUGUUUAUCUAAACACUAUUGAUUCCAGUUUUAAAUCCCUGGUUUGUCAUCAGCAGCACCAAACCAGUCCUGCGUCAGAGUCAGGUUUGCCAGUCUAAGGAACCCAACUUGGUGUCUGUGUGUGUGUGUGUUUGUGUGUGUUUGUGUGCGCAUGUGUGAGGGGAUGUUUGUGUGUGCUGCAGGGGACAAAUGAAAAGGCCUGUGACUGAAUCAGAAAACACCACAUUCAUGUGCAUAGGGGCACCUUCAACACAAUCUAAAUAGCAAUGUCAGCACUGUAUGUUAACACACUGUGAGGCAGAGGGGGGACAGUUUAUGCAAAUAAGCACAUUUGCAACACAGAGCCGGCUCCAUAUGUCUCCUGUGUGCUGCUCUGCUCCCCCCCACUGCUCCACACUUGCUAACUAAGUUCUCCCUUUUGGCGUCCAGGCCCUCGUCUGCAUUUCUUUCACACCCUGAGUGUCAAGGAGGUGAAGUUUGUAUGUCACUUCCAUUUCACUCCAGGAAGGGAAGCUUCUUGAAUUCCACCUUUGACUUCU